AUGGCCGUCCCCUCCGCCGACCGCAAGCGGCGCCCCUUCCUCCUCUCGCUCUCCCUCUUCCUCCUCCUCUCCGCCCUGCUCGUCCUCCUCGUCCUCUUCCUCGACUCCUCCGCCCAGUCCCUCCCCUUCCUCCCCUCCCGCCCCUCCCGCCUCUCCGCCCCCUCCCCCUAUCUUCCUCACCAGCAGCACAGCCCAACCCCAGUUCCCACCCCCGGAGGCUCGCCCGACUCGCAACCAAACGGCCCGGCCGCUGCCGCUGCAAAAUCAGAUGUCAAAGCCGACGCAUCGCGGCCGAAUGCCCCCGCCGCCGUCGCAGGGGGCAGCGGAACCAGCACCCCGUCACGGACAGCCGACGACAGCAGCCACCCGGCGGCAGUCGACGCGGAUGCCACAGCCAUCGAUGCGGCGGGAGUGAAUGGCGGCGAGGCCGAGGACGACGGCGCGGUGGCGGAGGUGAGGUGGGAGACGUGCAAGGUCAGGAGGGGGGUGUCGGCGACGGACUACAUCCCGUGCCUCGACAACAUCAGGGCUAUCAAGGCGCUGCGCUCCAGGCGGCACAUGGAGCACCGGGAGCGCCACUGCCCCGCGCCGCCGCCCAGGUGCCUGGUGCGAAUGCCUGCGGGUUACCGGCUGCCCGUGCCGUGGCCGCGCAGCCGUGACAUGAUUUGGUACAACAAUGUUCCUCACCCAAAACUGGUGGAAUAUAAAAAGGAUCAGAACUGGGUUACAAAGUCUGGUGAUUAUCUUGUUUUCCCCGGAGGCGGAACUCAAUUCAAAGAUGGUGUUGCAAGAUACAUACAGUUUGUAGAACAGAUAAUGCCUACCAUUCAAUGGGGAACACAUACGAGAACUGUUCUGGAUGUUGGAUGUGGUGUUGCCAGCUUUGGUGGAUACCUGCUUGACAGGAAUGUCAUUACUAUGUCAUUGGCCCCUAAAGAUGAGCAUGAAGCUCAGAUACAGUUUGCAUUAGAGCGUGGAAUUCCAGCAUUUCUAGGAGUAAUCGGAACUCAAAAGCUCCCUUUCCCUGAUAAUGCAUUUGAUGUGGUCCAUUGUGCAAGGUGCAGGGUCCAUUGGUAUGCGAAUGGUGGAAAACCACUACUGGAGCUUAACAGAGUGCUAAGGCCUGGAGGAUUUUUCGUUUGGUCUGCUACACCUGUCUAUCGUAAAGAACAAAGAGAUCAAGAUGACUGGAAUGCAAUGGUUACACUGACCAAAUCAAUGUGCUGGAGGACAGUUGUAAAAUCUGAAGAUAUUAAUGGAAUUGGUGUUGUUAUAUAUCAAAAACCAACCUCAAAUUCUUGCUACCUUGAGAGGAAAACCAAUGAACCCCACCUGUGUUCAAAGAAAGAUGGAUCACGUUUUCCUUGGUAUGCUCCUCUUGAUAGUUGCAUUUUGCCAUCUGCUGUUUCCAGUUCAGAUGAAACAAGCAACUCUCCCCUUCUGUGGCCUGAAAGACUUAUCAGAUACGCAAGUGUGCCUGAUGAUUCUGCUACUAUCGAGAAGUUUGAUGCUGAUACAAAGUAUUGGAAACAAGUCAUUUCAGAAGUAUAUUAUAAUGACUUUCCAGUUAAUUGGUCAAGUGUCCGUAAUGUAAUGGACAUGAAUGCUGGUUAUGGAGGGUUUGCAGCAGCACUUGUUGAUAAACCAUUAUGGGUUAUGAAUGUUGUACCUAUUGGCCAGUCAGAUACUUUGCCAGUAAUUUUUAGCCGAGGUUUGAUUGGGGUAUAUCAUGAUUGGUGUGAGUCUUUCAACACAUACCCAAGGACCUAUGAUGUUCUUCACAUGAGUGAUCUCCUUGGAAGUCUUACAAAGAGGUGUGACAUCCUUGAAGUAGCAGCCGAAAUCGACCGUAUAUUGAGGCCUGGCAGAUGGUUGGUGCUGAAAGACACCAUGGACAUGAUAAAAAAGAUGCGCCCGGUUCUUCGCUCUCUGCACUAUGAGACCGUAAUUGUGAAGCGGCAAUUCCUUGUCGGUAAAAAGACUUUCUGGCGUCCCCGGCGAUAA
Molecule: ribosomal RNA, 2004 nt
Filed under: Triticum aestivum (bread wheat)
Lineage: Eukaryota; Viridiplantae; Streptophyta; Magnoliopsida; Poales; Poaceae
Description: partial small subunit ribosomal RNA
Source: RNAcentral